AUACGGAGGAUCCGAGCGUUAUCCGGAUUUAUUGGGUUUAAAGGGUGCGCAGGCGGGAGAUUAAGUCGGCGGGGAAAUUUUGCAGCUCAACUGUAAAAGUGCCUUCGAAACUGGUUUCCUUGGGUGUAGAUGACGUAGGCGGCAUUUGUGGUGUAACGGUGAAAUGCAUAGAUAUCACGAGGAACUCCGAUUGCGCAGGCAGCUUACUAAACUACUACUGACGCUCAGGCACGAAGGCGUGGGGAUCAAACAGGAUUAGAUACCCUGGUAGUCCACGCAGUAAACGAUGAUUACUAGCUGUUUGCGAUACAAUGUAAGCGGCUGAGCGAAAGCGUUAAGUAAUCCACCUGGGGAGUGCGUUCGCAAGAAUGAAACUUAAAGGAAUUGACGGGG
This 393-nucleotide ribosomal RNA is filed under the name uncultured bacterium. RNAcentral's name for it is "partial 16S ribosomal RNA". It matches the Rfam family "Bacterial small subunit ribosomal RNA", at positions 523 to 918 of the family's 1533-position model. The record is from RNAcentral.